UUAGCGCGGUGGUCCCACCUGACCCCAUGCCGAACUCAGAAGUGAAACGCCGUAGCGCCGAUGGUAGUGUGGGGUCUCCCCAUGCGAGAGUAGGGAACUGCCAGGC
RNAcentral lists this ribosomal RNA (106 nucleotides) under Pantoea agglomerans. Lineage: Bacteria; Pseudomonadati; Pseudomonadota; Gammaproteobacteria; Enterobacterales; Erwiniaceae. The record is from RNAcentral. RNAcentral also lists the same sequence under 16 other names.